This is a long non-coding RNA of Sycon ciliatum, 1409 nucleotides long. RefSeq lists it as uncharacterized. The transcript is spliced from 2 exons. Lineage: Eukaryota; Metazoa; Porifera; Calcarea; Leucosolenida; Sycettidae. The record is from RefSeq and is a predicted model, not a curated record.
UUGAUUUCUUACAGCGCGAAGCAACAUAGAGUGAAACCUGUCUGAGGCUGUGUUUACAUGAGAAAUUUCAACCCGGGUCGAGUUCAGCCCGGGUUGAAAGUCUGUACGAUAGACAAAAGAGGUGAGCGUUUAUGUUGUGCGCGUUCUGUCGAUUUGGAAAAUCGAUCGAUUUUCUUGCGCGAUCUGUCGAUCGACAGAUCGCGCAAGGAUCGAUCGAUCGGAAAGCGGUGGCGAAACCAUUCAAAACAAAUCGAUCGAUUUGGAGCAGCUCCGAAACGUCGUACAGUGUAUGUUUAGGACUUUGGUGAACAGCUUUUCAAAUGAAAGAAACCAGUUACGGUACCUUUUCUGAGUGCAAUCUUCUUCCCCAAAUAAUUCAAAAAUCAGUUCCUUCCGAAAAUUCCAUCGUGCUGGACCUCGAAGCUGAACGUCAUAAGCAAAUAGUCAAGCCGUGUGUCGUCUGGAUAUGCAGUUGUUUGUCAUAGCCAACAUUCUUCUGGUCCGUUCGUCCUGCCAUUUUCCUGACGAUCGCAAUGAAUACGAGCAGCUCUCAUGCUCAGGAUUCUGAAAGCUAGAGGAAUCCCACUAGCCCCAAGCACUGAGCUCGCGGCUUCCAGCCACGAAUCAGGCAUGGUGUAUCACGACAUCUAUAUGUUUUGCAUCCAUUUGAUUACUAGUACCGUAAAGUACCGCCAGAGCGCCCCACUAUCUCGUCCUUUCGUGGUCGUAUUGUGUAGAUGGUCUCCCGUCUGUAGGUCAUACGACACGAACUUCGUACACAUAUUGCACGUUGUGCAGACAAUCCGUACCUUCGAGCGGACACGAGCUCCACACAAAAACCUUCCUCUGACGUUAGUACACCAUACACACUUCGUUGCAUUCUGCCGUACGAUUUUCCUUUCCCUGGACCCUGGCUGUAAAAUCAAGGUGGGGCACUCUCGCGAGACGGGGCGCUCUGGCGGUACUUUACGGUAUACCAUUCACACAUAACAUGAUCUCGCUGUGCCCAUGGUGCACUGUAGACUCAACAUCCCGCUUUAAAGUAAGCUUCACAAUCACACGUUAAUGCUCCUAACAUGUUAUCUCGCACUUGAUGGCAUUACUCUAUUUCUGCCUUUAGUAUUACUUGUAGACUCUACACUAUCGCUCAUCGCGUAUUUGACUCUACUCUUUUUCACUGCUAUUAUUAUGCUACGUUGAUGCUCAAUGUUAAUAUUGUGUGAGUCAAGUGUGCGCCCAGUGCCAGUUGACAGCCCAGUGUUCACAGCUGCACAACGUUCCGCACGGCAUUCACUCGCUUCAUUGGACUUCAUUGAGCACCACUGUAGUAUUCUGUGUUGGUUGAUCAGCCCUUCUAGUGACGACUCCUGUCUGUCACUCUGUCUUGAAAGGGACUUUUCGGCUUUGUA